Molecule: non-coding RNA, 234 nt
Organism: Vicia faba (fava bean)
Lineage: Eukaryota; Viridiplantae; Streptophyta; Magnoliopsida; Fabales; Fabaceae
Source: the annotation of a GenBank genome assembly
AUGUUAUCACCCCGACACCUUUUAACAAGAGAUAGAGACGAUGAAGGCUCCAGAAUAGAAAAUCCAAUUGUCGAUGUAGUCAACUAUUCAACCUCUGGGGUUAUACCCGGUGUAGCAUUUGCAACUACCAGGAAGACAGUCAACACAAGUAGAAUCUAUACUACCAGAGGAGGAGUAGAGGAAACGACAGGAGCCAUCGAUAUCUGUCUACAUAAAAUGGUCAUAAGACCCUGA